RNAcentral lists this ribosomal RNA (590 nucleotides) under Arachnopeziza aurelia. RNAcentral's name for it is "eukaryotic LSU rRNA". It matches the Rfam family "Eukaryotic large subunit ribosomal RNA", at positions 49 to 656 of the family's 3401-position model. The record is from RNAcentral. Lineage: Eukaryota; Fungi; Ascomycota; Leotiomycetes; Helotiales; Arachnopezizaceae.
AGCGGAGGAAAAGAAACCAACAGGGAUUACCUCAGUAACGGCGAGUGAAGCGGUAACAGCUCAAAUUUGAAAUCUGGCUCUCGGGCCCGAGUUGUAAUUUGUAGAAGAUGCUUUGGGUGUGGCUCCGGUCUAAGUUCCUUGGAACAGGACGUCAUAGAGGGUGAGAAUCCCGUAUGUGACUGGUCGCCUUCGCCCGUGUAAAGCUCUUUCGACGAGUCGAGUUGUUUGGGAAUGCAGCUCAAAAUGGGUGGUAUAUUUCAUCUAAAGCUAAAUAUUGGCCAGAGACCGAUAGCGCACAAGUAGAGUGAUCGAAAGAUGAAAAGCACUUUGGAAAGAGAGUUAAACAGUACGUGAAAUUGUUGAAAGGGAAGCGCUUGCAACCAGACUUGCAGGCUGUUGAUCAUCCGGGGUUCUCCCCGGUGCACUCGGCAGUUUUCAGGCCAGCAUCGGUUUGAGUGGUGGGAUAAAGGCCUUGGGAAUGUGGCUCUCUUCGGGGAGUGUUAUAGCCCAAGGUGCAAUGCCGCCUACUUGGACCGAGGACCGCGCUUCGGCUAGGAUGCUGGCGUAAUGGUUGUAAGCGACCCGUCUUG